RNAcentral lists this long non-coding RNA (601 nucleotides) under Vombatus ursinus (common wombat). Its description in RNAcentral is "lncRNA (ENSVURG00010012583.1)". The record is from RNAcentral. Lineage: Eukaryota; Metazoa; Chordata; Mammalia; Diprotodontia; Vombatidae.
CUCCGCCCCGGAUGUUGGGGAAGCUGAGACAGAAGAUUGAGUGAAGCUGUAAUUUUGCUGCUGCUCUAGGAUCCGGAACUGAAUGGUGCAGACCGCCUUUUUUCCCCCCUUAAUGUGACGAAUUCUGGAUUUAAUGGGGGAAAACGUGCGUGAAGUUCCCGGGGAUAUAACCUGACGAAUCCCCUAUCUUCAUUUCCCCUCUUGCCUUACGGUUGGCUGCAGUACCCAGUUGUAGUUUGAAUUAUGACACUACCAGCACCACUCCUUCCCACAAAUGGAACUGUGAGCUCUGAAAUGAAUAACUACUCUAGUUUUACAUGCCAUCUUUUAUCACUUGAUGUCCUGCAUUAUCUGAGGUCUUCCAGCACAUGUAUCACACGACAGGCCCUUCAGAGCCACUAUAAGUUUUGAGAAGGGGAGUAACAUGUUAAACACAGUAAUUUAAGAAGAGCUGGUAUUGGUGAACAGAAUAAUCUGGAAGAAUUGAUACCAGGUAAAUAGAAUAUUGCAAUAAUCUAGGAAUGAGGUAAUGAAUGGACUAUAACAUUAGCAGUGAGAUUGGAUGAAUAAAAGAAAUAUUUUGAAGUGUGCUUUGUAUUUU